Long non-coding RNA from Daucus carota subsp. sativus, 473 nucleotides. RefSeq lists it as uncharacterized. Lineage: Eukaryota; Viridiplantae; Streptophyta; Magnoliopsida; Apiales; Apiaceae. The transcript is spliced from 2 exons. The record is from RefSeq and is a predicted model, not a curated record.
AUAAAAGCCCAAAGAAAUUAGGGUUAUGACAUAGGUAGAGAGCCGUAUGAGUACUAAACCACAACAUCGUUUGUAGAACGGCCGGGAGUUAUACAAGACCCAGAGCAUAGAGAGCUAAGACAGAAGUUCCUUCGAGAUGCGUGCUAAGUGGAAGAAGAAGCGGAUGAGGAGAUUGAAGAGGAAGCGCCGAAAGAUGAGACAGAGAUCUAAGUAGACGGUUUGCAGAAAUAAUUAGAUUGCUUCUUUCGAGCCUGCAUCUUCAUAAUCACUAUGUUGAAUGGUUCAAGGCUCGGUUAGGGGGAGCUUUCUGAAAUUGCUAGCAACUGAUUCAGCUUUUGGUUUUCUUGUUUCUAGAAUGAACUUCUGUUUAGUUUGGUUUUCUUACUAUAAUCUUGACAGGAUUAUGAUACUUGGCUUUAAGGAAUAAUCUUUUUUAAUUAUCUGAUUUCAUUUUAUGAAUUCAUAUUUUACCA